RNAcentral lists this ribosomal RNA (922 nucleotides) under Pediococcus pentosaceus. RNAcentral describes it as "bacterial SSU rRNA". It matches the Rfam family "Bacterial small subunit ribosomal RNA", at positions 21 to 895 of the family's 1533-position model. The record is from RNAcentral. Lineage: Bacteria; Bacillati; Bacillota; Bacilli; Lactobacillales; Lactobacillaceae.
CCCUCAAAGAGCUGCCGCUGGCUAUACAUGCAAGUCGAACGAACUUCCGUUAAUUGAUUAUGACAAAACUUGUACUGAUUGAGAUUUUAACACGAAGUGAGUGGCGAACGGGUGAGUAACACGUGGGUAACCUGCCCAGAAGUAGGGGAUAACACCUGGAAACAGAUGCUAAUACCGUAUAACAGAGAAAACCGCAUGGUUUUCUUUUAAAAGAUGGCUCUGCUAUCACUUCUGGAUGGACCCGCGGCGUAUUAGCUAGUUGGUGAGGUAAAGGCUCACCAAGGCAGUGAUACGUAGCCGACCUGAGAGGGUAAUCGGCCACAUUGGGACUGAGACACGGCCCAGACUCCUACGGGAGGCAGCAGUAGGGAAUCUUCCACAAUGGACGCAAGUCUGAUGGAGCAACGCCGCGUGAGUGAAGAAGGGUUUCGGCUCGUAAAGCUCUGUUGUUAAAGAAGAACGUGGGUAAGAGUAACUGUUUACCCAGUGACGGUAUUUAACCAGAAAGCCACGGCUAACUACGUGCCAGCAGCCGCGGUAAUACGUAGGUGGCAAGCGUUAUCCGGAUUUAUUGGGCGUAAAGCGAGCGCAGGCGGUCUUUUAAGUCUAAUGUGAAAGCCUUCGGCUCAACCGAAGAAGUGCAUUGGAAACUGGGAGACUUGAGUGCAGAAGAGGACAGUGGAACUCCAUGUGUAGCGGUGAAAUGCGUAGAUAUAUGGAAGAACACCAGUGGCGAAUGCGGCUGUCUGGUCUGCAACUGACGCUGAGCUCGAAAGCAUGGGGUAGCGAACAGGAUUAGAUACCCUGGUAGUCCAUGCCGUAAACCGAUGAUUACCUAAGUGUUGGAGGGUUUCCCGCCCCUUCAGUGCUGCAGCUAACGCAAUUAAGGUUAUCCGGGCCCUGGGGGUAGGUUCACGAGACC